Molecule: long non-coding RNA, 2176 nt
Organism: Cuculus canorus (common cuckoo)
Lineage: Eukaryota; Metazoa; Chordata; Aves; Cuculiformes; Cuculidae
Exons: 4
Source: RefSeq, a predicted model, not a curated record
GCCAGACCUGUGCUAGUAAUGGCAAUAUUUGUAAUUACCAGCUGCAGUCGGUUUCUGUAUGUGUAUAUAUAUAAAUGAAAAUGAUCAGCAAAGGUGCUUCAGACUACUUCUGUAUUAGAAUGUUUUGCUGGUGUGUUAACAAAGCUCUUUUAAUAUAUGGCUUUUUAAGUGGUAUCUGUUUACGUACCUUAAAGCCACUCAGUUGUUACACACACAGUGAUUCAUGAGACAGCAAGUGAAGAGAAAGCAAGCAGGGGAACUAGUUGAUACAAAGAGAUGUGAUCAAGGAUACUGGGAUUGGCUAAUAAGGGAUGAAAACCAGUAUUUGCAGAGGGUAGAUGUGAUGAUUUCUGUUUGUGAGUAGCAGAUCUGUGAUUGGUUGGUAUAAUUUUUGCAUGCAGAGAAGUAGCGGGACCUUUGUGCCCCGGCAUGGUUUCACAGAGAGCAGUGUUCAGAGAAGGCUGGUGCAUCUGUGCUGGCUGGGCUUCAAGGGAUGCAUCUCCAGGUCACACUGUUCAGUGUGUGGCAAGGAGUAAGCAGGAGCAGAGGAACACUUGCACUUGUCUGCCUGGGAGCUGUGAGUGUCCUCCUUCCAGCCUUUGCCUUGCAUCGAGUUUAAUCAAAGCUGGUUAAGAGAUGUUAGAAAUAUUUUUCCAUUUAAUUUGCUGUGUUGAAGCUACCUCCUGGAGAGUUCAGUAACGUCCCCUGUUUAUACAGCCCUGAGAUUGUCUGCAUGAGUCACAGGUGGAGCUGGUGCUGUUACACAAUUGCUCUGUCACCAGCUGCAAGCUGGUUGUCUUUGUGCAGGCUUACUGCGGGAGUUUUGUCCACACCAGAGAUCACUUGGCAGCAGGCGGAGGUGGCUGUUCGCUCCCCAGAUAUUGGCUAUAUUGCUUAAUAGUCUGAGUGCUCCAAGCCUGUGCUAUUUGCCAGAGCAGUCGGCACAGAACAGUGUUCAUAGCUCCAGGGGCUGCUUUAGUGACACUGAUUGCACACCCUAGUUAGAACUACUACUACUACUAAAUUUUCACUUCUUGGAGUGAUGUUUCUGUCCUCGCAGCUACUCGCCAGUCUGCAAACAGCAUGCCAAACUCUUCAUUUGAGUGACUUUGCACUUGUGAGGUGUUUUAGAACAUGUGAGGUUACUAUGACCCUGCUUUGUUCUUUCUGAUUAAACUUACCCAAGAGUUACCUUGGCAAAGUAUCUACAGCUUUUAGGGGUCAUGAUCUCGCAAUAUUUCAGUGUGAACUUCCUGGUGAGUGCUUCACUGUGGUAUGAAAAGGUGCCUUUUGCAAAAAUGCUUACCUUGCAAAGUUAAUGGUACUGUAAAAGAUAAAAGGGAGCAGGAAGGUCAGAGGAGAGCAAGGGACGUUCAUUUCUGGUCCGUUUUUCCUGCUCUGCUGGCUCUCAGGGGUUUGUAGGUGACUAACACCACCUGGCUGAGGUGUUAAUCUUUGUCCAUAAUUAAAGCCAGGGUUAUUUUACUGUCUGUAGAUGUUUUAAAAAACAAACCCUGCUUCAGGAGGUGGUGGUAACUAAGCUGUGGUUGCCUUGUGUAACGGGAUGACCUUAAACUGUUGAAAGGAACUUUUAUUGCUUUGUUUUCUUCUGGGCCUGGAGAUUCUUAAGGACUGAACGUUACUGCUCUUGUAGGACAGCUUGGGGGGUGGAUACUUGCUCUACUGCAGCAUGUUCUGUGUGCACGGUCCCUUCGUUAACACCGUACAAAGCUUCUGCUCAUGGCAGCUUAGAAUCCAGGUUGAAAAGAGAGGUAGGAGAGGAGAGCUGUGGAAUGUGGAACAGGAAAGCAGUGUUUUUCUCUAUCACGGGAGCUCAGAUAUCUUAUUAACCUGUGCAAACAUACCCUAAAAUGUUACCUCUUCUCUCUCCUAGAUUAGUUUCCAGCCUGUGGGAUGUGGAUUAAUUCUAAAGGGUCUGUAGGAAGUCACCAGAAAUGUCUCUCUGCCUCUGCAAUAAGAAACAGUGACAUCUGAGGAUUCUUUGCUGUGGUGUAGGAGGGGCUGAUUUCUGUGGCAGUUUCACUUGAGUGCAGAAGCUGAGCCCCAUGAAUAGUGCAGCCGAUAUCAGGAAGAAACUGGAGUUGUAGAAAACGUAGCGGAAAUCAUUUGUUACAUCCACCAGGAGACCUGAAAUAGAAGUCAUGCUUAGUCAAAG